This 465-nucleotide ribosomal RNA is filed under the name Vreelandella stevensii. RNAcentral's name for it is "partial 16S ribosomal RNA". It matches the Rfam family "Bacterial small subunit ribosomal RNA", at positions 338 to 795 of the family's 1533-position model. Lineage: Bacteria; Pseudomonadati; Pseudomonadota; Gammaproteobacteria; Oceanospirillales; Halomonadaceae. The record is from RNAcentral.
CCUACGGGAGGCAGCAGUGGGGAAUAUUGGACAAUGGGGGCAACCCUGAUCCAGCCAUGCCGCGUGUGUGAAGAAGGCCCUCGGGUUGUAAAGCACUUUCAGUGAGGAAGAACGCCUGGUGGUUAAUACCCAUCAGGAAAGACAUCACUCACAGAAGAAGCACCGGCUAACUCCGUGCCAGCAGCCGCGGUAAUACGGAGGGUGCGAGCGUUAAUCGGAAUUACUGGGCGUAAAGCGCGCGUAGGUGGCUUGAUAAGCCGGUUGUGAAAGCCCCGGGCUCAACCUGGGAACGGCAUCCGGAACUGUCGAGCUAGAGUGCAGGAGAGGAAGGUAGAAUUCCCGGUGUAGCGGUGAAAUGCGUAGAGAUCGGGAGGAAUACCAGUGGCGAAGGCGGCCUUCUGGACUGACACUGACACUGAGGUGCGAAAGCGUGGGUAGCAAACAGGAUUAGAUACCCGGGUAGUC